Molecule: transfer RNA, 78 nt
Filed under: Deltaproteobacteria bacterium RBG_19FT_COMBO_52_11
Lineage: Bacteria; Deltaproteobacteria
Description: tRNA-Glu
Rfam family: tRNA
About the family: Transfer RNA (tRNA) molecules are approximately 80 nucleotides in length. Their secondary structure includes four short double-helical elements and three loops (D, anti-codon, and T loops).
Source: RNAcentral
GUCCCCAUCGUCUAGCCCGGCCAAGGACACUGGCCUUUCACGCCAGUAACACCGGUUCAAAUCCGGUUGGGGACGCCA